RNAcentral lists this ribosomal RNA (1400 nucleotides) under metagenome. RNAcentral describes it as "bacterial SSU rRNA". It matches the Rfam family "Bacterial small subunit ribosomal RNA". The record is from RNAcentral.
UGAGUUUGAUCGCCGCGGCCUGGACAAUUGAACGGCGCAGGCCCAAUACGGGCAAGUCGAGCGGACAGUACUUCUCGCCUUGCUCCUGCGUUCCAGCGGCGGGGGAGUAUUAGCACAGGAAUCUGCCACCAGUGGGGGAUAACGUCCGGCCGCCGAACGCUAAUGCCGUCGCAUACGUCCCAGGGAAGAGCGGGGAUGGGACCUCGCGCACGGCGAGCCAGGCCUAGGAUUCGCUUGCUGGUGGGGGUAAAGGCCUGCGGGCGACGAUCCGUAACUGGUCUGAGGAUGAUCAGUCACACCGAACCGAGACACGGACCAGACACCUCCUACGGGAGGCAGCAGUGGGAAUUGGUCAAUGGGCGAAAGCCUGAUCCAGCCAUGCCGCGUGUGUGAAGAAGGUCUUCGGAUUGUAAAGCACUUUAAGUUGGGAGAAGGGCAGUAAGCACACCUGCUGUUUUGACGUUACCAACAAGCACCGGCUAACUUCGUGCCAGCAGCCGCGGUAAUACGAAGGGUGCAAGCGUUAAUCGGAAUUACUGGGCGUAAAGCGCGCGUAGGUGGUUCAGCAGAGGUGAAAUCCCCGGGCUCAACCUGGGAACUGCAUCCAAAAACUACUGAGCUAGAGUACGGUAGAGGGUGGUGGAAUUUCGCGGUGAAAUGUAGAUAUAGGAAGAACACCAGUGGCGAAGGCGACCACGACUGAUACUGACACUGGAGGUGAAAGCGGGGAGCAAACAGGAUUAGAUACCCUGGUAGUCCACGCCAAACGAUGUCGACUAGCCGUUGGGAUCCUUGAGAUCAUAGUGGCGCAGCUAACGCGAUAAGUCGACCGCCUGGGAGUACGGCCGCAAGGUUAAACUCAAAUGAAUUGAUGGGGCCCGCACAAGCGGUGGAGCAUGUGGCACCUGAAGCAACGCGAAGAAUUUACCUGGCCUUGACAUGCUGAGAACCGAGAUGGAUUGGUGCCUUCGGGAACUCAGACACAGGUGCUGUGGCUGUCGUCAGCUCGUGUCGUGAUGUUGGGUUAAGUCCCGUAACGAGCGCAACCCUUGUCCUGAAGUUACCAGCACCUCGGUGGCAGCACAGAAGACUGCCGGUGACAAACCGGAGGAAGGUGGGGAUGACGUCAAGUCAUCAUGGCCCUUACGGCCAGGGCUAACACGUGCAAUGGUCGGUACAAAGGUUGCUUGCCGCGAGGUGGAGCUAACCCCAGUGAUCGUAGUGAUCGCUGCAACUCGAUCACGCAAGUCGGAAUCGCUAGUAAUCGUGAAUCAGAAUGUCACGGUGAAUACGUUCCCGGGCCUUGUACACCGCCCGUCACACCAUGGGAGUGGGUUGCUCCAGAAGUAGCCAACCGCAAGGGGACGGCCACGGAGUGAUUCAUGACUGGGUGAAGUCGG